RNAcentral lists this ribosomal RNA (474 nucleotides) under uncultured bacterium. RNAcentral describes it as "bacterial SSU rRNA". It matches the Rfam family "Bacterial small subunit ribosomal RNA", at positions 15 to 480 of the family's 1533-position model. The record is from RNAcentral.
GAUCCUGGCUCAGAUUGAACGCUGGCGGCAUGCUUUACACAUGCAAGUCGAACGGCAGCGGGGGCUUCGGCCUGCCGGCGAGUGGCGAACGGGUGAGUAAUGCAUCGGAACGUGCCCAUGUCGUGGGGGAUAACGUAGCGAAAGCUACGCUAAUACCGCAUACGCCCUGAGGGGGAAAAGCGGGGGAUUCUUCGGAACCUCGCGCGAUUGGAGCGGCCGAUGUCGGAUUAGCUAGUAGGUGAGGUAAAGGCUCACCUAGGCGACGAUCCGUAGCGGGUCUGAGAGGAUGAUCCGCCACACUGGGACUGAGACACGGCCCAGACUCCUACGGGAGGCAGCAGUGGGGAAUUUUGGACAAUGGGCGCAAGCCUGAUCCAGCCAUGCCGCGUGAGUGAAGAAGGCCUUCGGGUUGUAAAGCUCUUUCGGCCGGGAAGAAAUCGUGGUCUCUAACAUAGGCCAUGGAUGACGGUACCG